Molecule: small RNA, 222 nt
Filed under: Arabidopsis thaliana (thale cress)
Lineage: Eukaryota; Viridiplantae; Streptophyta; Magnoliopsida; Brassicales; Brassicaceae
Description: ATSL070130
Source: RNAcentral
AAUUCAAAAACAAAUCCAUCAAUUUAGCGCGGUAACCCGGAUAUUCUAAAAAAUGAAAGUGAGCAAAAAAGAAAUCAAAUGUUCAAAACAAAUCAUAUAUAUGAAAGUUGGCCAACUCUCUCCAUAUGAUUGACACAUCAUCACUUUAGCAUUUGACAUGUGUCUAUUAAUUAUUUAAGCUUUUCAACUUCUAAUUUAUAGGUUAAUGAUAUAUUUCUUAUU